CCUACGGGGGGCAGCAGUGGGGAAUAUUGCACAAUGGGGGAAACUCUGAUGCAGCGACGCCGCGUGAGUGAAGAAGUAUUUCGGUAUUUAAAGCUCUAUCAGCAGGGAAGUAAAUGACGGUACCUGUCUCGGGAUCCCCGUCUAACUACGUUCCAGCAGCCGCGGUAAUACGUAGGCGGCCAGCGUUAUCCGGAUUUACUGGGUGUAAUGGGAGCGUAGUCGGCCAGACAAGUCAGAGGUGAAAUCCCAGGGCUCAACCCUGGGACUGCUUUUGAAACUGCCGGGCUGGAGAGUAGGCGAGGUAAGCGGAAUUCAUAGUGUAGCGGUGAAAUGCGUAGAUAUUAGGAGGAACACCAGUGGCGAAGGCGGCUUACUAAACUGUAACUGACGUUGAGGCUCGAAAGCGUGGGGAGCAAACAGGAUUAGAUACCCGAGUAGUC
RNAcentral lists this ribosomal RNA (440 nucleotides) under uncultured bacterium. RNAcentral's name for it is "partial 16S ribosomal RNA". It matches the Rfam family "Bacterial small subunit ribosomal RNA", at positions 338 to 795 of the family's 1533-position model. The record is from RNAcentral.